This 433-nucleotide ribosomal RNA is filed under the name uncultured bacterium. Its description in RNAcentral is "partial 16S ribosomal RNA". It matches the Rfam family "Bacterial small subunit ribosomal RNA", at positions 29 to 507 of the family's 1533-position model. The record is from RNAcentral.
AACGAACGCUGGCGGCAUGCCUAACACAUGCAAGUCGAACGAGACCUUCGGGUCUAGUGGCGCACGGGUGCGUAACGCGUGGGAACCUGCCUUUAGGUUCGGAAUAACUCAGAGAAAUUUGAGCUAAUACCGGAUGAUGUCUUCGGACCAAAGAUUUAUCGCCUUUGGAUGGGCCCGCGUUGGAUUAGCUAGUUGGUGGGGUAAAGGCCUACCAAGGCGACGAUCCAUAGCUGGUCUGAGAGGAUGAUCAGCCACACUGGGACUGAGACACGGCCCAGACUCUUACGGGAGGCAGCAGUGGGGAAUAUUGGACAAUGGGCGAAAGCCUGAUCCAGCAAUGCCGCGUGAGUGAUGAAGGCCUUAGGGUUGUAAAGCUCUUUUACCCGAGAUGAUAAUGACAGUAUCGGGAGAAUAAGCUCCGGCUAACUCCGUG